GACGUAGGGAGCGAGCGUUGUCCGGAUUCAUUGGGCGUAAAGCGCGUGUAGGCGGCCAGGUAGGUCUGCUGUGAGAACUCGAGGCUCAACCUCGAGACGUCGGCGGAAACCAUCUGGCUAGAGUCCGGAAGAGGAGAGUGGAAUUCCUGGUGUAGCGGUGAAAUGCGCAGAUAUCAGGAAGAACACCCGUGGCGAAGGCGGCUCUCUGGGACGGUACUGACGCUGAGACGCGAAAGCGUGGGGAGCGAACAGG
Molecule: ribosomal RNA, 253 nt
Filed under: uncultured bacterium
Lineage: Bacteria
Description: partial 16S ribosomal RNA
Rfam family: Bacterial small subunit ribosomal RNA
Source: RNAcentral